RNAcentral lists this long non-coding RNA (501 nucleotides) under Oryctolagus cuniculus (rabbit). RNAcentral describes it as "lncRNA (ENSOCUG00000039488.1)". The record is from RNAcentral. Lineage: Eukaryota; Metazoa; Chordata; Mammalia; Lagomorpha; Leporidae.
AGGCUUUGUCCCUGCUGCAUUUAAAAUUACAUCUAAUCUUAUCAAGGCGCUCGUCAUUGUUUCUGGCGGCCUGGAGCAGCUAGAAACCAUCAGUGACAUCACUCUAAGUGCUAAAUGAAAACUCAGAUUUUGACAGAGAGGCUAAAUAUGGGACGAUCUUGCAGGUUGGAAGUUUUAAGGAUGAAGAAACUAAGAUCAAAUGACUUGAAUGAAGGCAUCCCAGAGGACCUAGAGUGAUCCCCACCCCCAUCCUCUCAGCAACAUCUGCAUUUGCCUUCAUUAUUCGCCAACGUUUUCAGUGAGGAUGAGAAGGAAAGGACAUCUUUACUCCUUCCACCUCUGAGAAUUUCUAGGUACUCCGGCCUCAGGAAGCUACCUGAGGGACAGAAGAUGUAGGUUGUUACUGAUGUCAUAGCAUUGCACAGCUUUCCUCUGCCCUUUUGCACCUUUACUUUUUGCCUUCAUAUUUUUUCUCUAUGCCAUACAAAUACCACAAGCCCU